This 152-nucleotide long non-coding RNA is filed under the name Felis catus (domestic cat). RNAcentral describes it as "lncRNA (ENSFCAG00000048792.1)". Lineage: Eukaryota; Metazoa; Chordata; Mammalia; Carnivora; Felidae. The record is from RNAcentral.
CUAUCUGCUAAAUUUACCAAAUAGAUAAGUUAUAACAAUUAAGUCUUGUUUAUCUUGUCAGAUUUGAGAAAUGAAAGCUACUAUUUGGAUGAAGCCCCUGGGAAUCUAGAAAUUAUGCAAAAACUUAUUUCUAUGUAACAGUUUGAAAGGUA